CCAUAGCACAGAAGCACUCCCA
Molecule: microRNA, 22 nt
Filed under: Mus musculus (house mouse)
Lineage: Eukaryota; Metazoa; Chordata; Mammalia; Rodentia; Muridae
Description: mmu-miR-3060-3p
Source: miRBase by way of RNAcentral